UGGGGAAUAUUGGGCAAUGGGCGCAAGCCUGACCCAGCAACGCCGCGUGAAGGAAGAAGGCUUUCGGGUUGUAAACUUCUUUUGUCAGGGACGAAGAAAGUGACGGUACCUGACGAAUAAGCCACGGCUAACUACGUGCCAGCAGCCGCGGUAAUACGUAGGUGGCAAGCGUUAUCCGGAUUUAUUGGGUGUAAAGGGCGUGUAGGCGGGAAUGCAAGUCAGAUGUGAAAACUAUGGGCUCAACCCAUAGCCUGCAUUUGAAACUGUGUUUCUUGAGUGCUGGAGAGGCAAUCGGAAUUCCGU
Molecule: ribosomal RNA, 303 nt
Filed under: uncultured bacterium
Lineage: Bacteria
Description: bacterial SSU rRNA
Rfam family: Bacterial small subunit ribosomal RNA
Source: RNAcentral